UUAGAUACCCUAUUAUAUUUAAACAAAUUGGGUAGUAUUAUUAAUAAAAACCUUUAUACUUUGGCGGCAUUUUAUCUUAUUAGAGGAAUAUGUUCAUUAAUCGAAACCACACGAUAGUUUUUACUUACUAUAAAAUUUUAUAUACCCCCGUCUAAAGAAUUUAUUUAAAAUUUUUAUUCCAAAUUAUAUUAAAAAAAGUUAGGUAAAGGUGUAGACUAUUAGUAAGAUUAAAUGUAUUACAUUAAAAAAAAAUUUAAGGAUAAAACAGUUAACUGUUUAUUAAAAGAGGAUUUAUAAGUAAUUUACUUUUAAUAAAAAUUAAUGAAUAAGAAAAUAAAUGUGCACAUAUCGCCCGUCACUCUCACAU
RNAcentral lists this ribosomal RNA (367 nucleotides) under Sancus acoreensis. Its description in RNAcentral is "partial 12S ribosomal RNA". The record is from RNAcentral. Lineage: Eukaryota; Metazoa; Arthropoda; Arachnida; Araneae; Tetragnathidae.